RNAcentral lists this unclassified non-coding RNA (205 nucleotides) under Hevea brasiliensis (rubber tree). The record is from RNAcentral. Lineage: Eukaryota; Viridiplantae; Streptophyta; Magnoliopsida; Malpighiales; Euphorbiaceae.
CUCAAUUUUUUUUUUGUUUAUACAUCAGUCAUGCUUUUCGAUUAUAGAGCCCAAACUUUGCUGAGAUAAUCUUGUUUAGGCUUAUAUGGAUAGAAAUGAAGCUAAGGACUAUUCGUGGUCCCAACGAUAUAGAAGUUUCUCUGCGAAAUUCUGUCAGAAUAUCUUACUGGCUAAAAUUGUUUGUGAUCUGGUUCUCUUGAAUGGG